CAGCCGCCACGGUAAUACGGAGGGUGCAAGCGUUAUCCGGAUUUAUUGGGUUUAAAGGGUCCGUAGGCGGAUCUGUAAGUCAGUGGUGAAAUCUCACAGCUUAACUGUGAAACUGCCAUUGAUACUGCAGGUCUUGAGUAAAUUUGAAGUGGCUAGAAUAAGUAGUGUAGCGGUGAAAUGCAUAGAUAUUACUUAGAACACCAAUUGCGAAGGCAGGUCACUAAGAUUUAACUGACGCUGAUGGACGAAAGCGUGGGGAGCGAACAGGAUUAGAUACCCCCGUAGUCCCUGUCUCUUAUAC
Molecule: ribosomal RNA, 301 nt
Filed under: uncultured bacterium
Lineage: Bacteria
Description: partial 16S ribosomal RNA
Rfam family: Bacterial small subunit ribosomal RNA
Source: RNAcentral